UUUCGGUAGGUGAACCUGCGGAAGGAUCAUUAUUGUAUAACCGAGGUGCGAGGGCUGUCGCUGACCCGAAAGGUCGUGCACGCCCGAGUACCCUCACACACAUCCAUCUCACCCCUAUGUGCACCACCGCGUGGGUCCCCCUUUGGCUUGUUCGGAGGGGGGCUUACGUUUUCACACAAACUUUGUAUGCAGUGUAGAAUGUAUUUUUUGUUUUUGCGAUCACGCAAUCAAUACAACUUUCAACAACGGAUCUCUUGGCUCUC
RNAcentral lists this unclassified non-coding RNA (263 nucleotides) under plant metagenome. RNAcentral's name for it is "partial contains small subunit ribosomal RNA, internal transcribed spacer 1, and 5.8S ribosomal RNA". The record is from RNAcentral.